Molecule: ribosomal RNA, 301 nt
Filed under: uncultured bacterium
Lineage: Bacteria
Description: partial 16S ribosomal RNA
Rfam family: Bacterial small subunit ribosomal RNA
Source: RNAcentral
CAGCCGCCACGGUAAUACGAAGGGGGCUAGCGUUGCUCGGAAUGACUGGGCGUAAAGGGCGCGUAGGCGGCGGCCAAAGUCAGGCGUGAAAUUCCUGGGCUCAACCUGGGGGCUGCGCUUGAUACUUGGUUGCUUGAGUGGGGAAGAGGGUCGUGGAAUUCCCAGUGUAGAGGUGAAAUUCGUAGAUAUUGGGAAGAACACCGGUGGCGAAGGCGGCGACCUGGUCCUUGACUGACGCUGAGGCGCGAAAGCGUGGGGAGCAAACAGGAUUAGAUACCCGGGUAGUCCCUGUCUCUUAUAA